Molecule: non-coding RNA, 46 nt
Filed under: Trichobilharzia regenti
Lineage: Eukaryota; Metazoa; Platyhelminthes; Trematoda; Strigeidida; Schistosomatidae
Source: RNAcentral
GUACUUCUGAAGAGUCCCAAACUAGGACGAAACAGCUGUCAAGUGC